Molecule: ribosomal RNA, 253 nt
Filed under: uncultured bacterium
Lineage: Bacteria
Description: partial 16S ribosomal RNA
Rfam family: Bacterial small subunit ribosomal RNA
Source: RNAcentral
UACGGGGGGGGCAAGCGUUGUUCGGAAUUACUGGGCGUAAAGGGCGCGUAGGCGGCCUGCUAAGUCGGAUGUGAAAUCCCUCGGCUCAACCGGGGAACUGCAUCCGAUACUGGUGGGCUUGAAUCCGGGAGAGGGAUGUGGAAUUCCAGGUGUAGCGGUGAAAUGCGUAGAUAUCUGGAGGAACACCGGUGGCGAAGGCGGCAUCCUGGACCGGUAUUGACGCUGAGGCGCGAAAGCGUGGGGAGCGAACAGG